Molecule: transfer RNA, 75 nt
Filed under: Candidatus Nitrosotenuis chungbukensis
Lineage: Archaea; Thermoproteati; Nitrososphaerota
Also listed under: 5 other names
Description: tRNA-Arg
Rfam family: tRNA
About the family: Transfer RNA (tRNA) molecules are approximately 80 nucleotides in length. Their secondary structure includes four short double-helical elements and three loops (D, anti-codon, and T loops).
Source: RNAcentral
GGGCUUGUAGCGCAGCAUGGAUAGCGCGGCAGCCUCCUAAGUUGCAGGUCGAGGGAUCGAAGCCCUCCAAGCCCG